UCCCUGGUGGCUCAGAUGGUAAAGCAUCUGCCUACCAUGUGGGAGAGCCAGGUUCAAUCCCUGGGUUGGGAA
RNAcentral lists this transfer RNA (72 nucleotides) under Bos taurus (domestic cattle). It matches the Rfam family "tRNA". Rfam says of the family: Transfer RNA (tRNA) molecules are approximately 80 nucleotides in length. RNAcentral also lists the same sequence under 5 other names. Lineage: Eukaryota; Metazoa; Chordata; Mammalia; Artiodactyla; Bovidae. The record is from Rfam by way of RNAcentral.